GCCUCCGUAUCGUCCAUCCCGCCGGCAACCGUUACCGGCGACGACUUCCGUGAUGACUCUCUACCGCGGGAUCCACUGUUACAGUCCGGAACCUACAUCGACGCUGAGUCGAAUGUUAACACUACACCGAACAAAGGCGUAAGGCCAAAUGCAGGUAAUGUGCCCGAUCUAACUCCGGCGCCGGCGGAGGGGACUCAGGAGAUUCAGUCGGUGGAUACGGUGGCGCAGACGGUGACGCCUCUGCGUUAUGGGAGUAGAUCGGCAGAGGUGAGUGUAGAGAGACCGACCUGGUUGCCGGAGAGUUGGAGGUUCGAAGCGAAAGUUCGUACCUCUGGCGCUACUGCUGGAACUGUUGAUAGAUACUAUUAUGAACCAGUCACCGGGAGUAAAUUCCGGUCAAAGACUGAGGUGCUUUAUUUCCUAGAAACUGGUGGCAAGCGCAAGAAGGCAAUUACUGGAACUACUGGCAGUGGCACUGAUGCUACACCAUCUGAGACUCCCCCAAUCAAAAAACAGAAGAAGAGUAUCUCGAAAACAAAGAAGGUUACUUCUUUCUACUUUGAUUCUGGGAAUCCGCCCCAGAGCGUGUGCUGGGUUCAAACAGAUACUUCCGCAGACACUUGGACACCUUCAUGUAAUGGCAGCGUGGUUCCUGGAACCCGGAAGCAAGAAUGGGAUGCUGUGUUCUUAAGUGUAUCAAAGCUGAAGCGAAGGAACACACAAACAGGGAGAUAGGCGGCUCUAAUGUGUACUAUACACUAACAGUGAACAAACCUUUUUCUGGAUCUAUCUAGACUAGAUAGUAUGUCAAAUGCCCGCCUGAAUUUGCCUUACUUCUUUUGGUUUUAGCUAAGGGCUCUCAUAGGUGUUGAUAACUUCUUGUUUUGGCCUCAUGGAAUAGGCAAAAGUUGCUUCACCUAUAUCUGUUCAUCAUGUAAUCUUAUGGUAUUUUGG
Molecule: unclassified non-coding RNA, 954 nt
Filed under: Hevea brasiliensis (rubber tree)
Lineage: Eukaryota; Viridiplantae; Streptophyta; Magnoliopsida; Malpighiales; Euphorbiaceae
Source: RNAcentral